This 373-nucleotide ribosomal RNA is filed under the name uncultured bacterium. RNAcentral describes it as "bacterial SSU rRNA". It matches the Rfam family "Bacterial small subunit ribosomal RNA", at positions 521 to 896 of the family's 1533-position model. The record is from RNAcentral.
UAAUACGGAGGGUGCAAGCGUUAUCCGGAUUCACUGGGUUUAAAGGGUGCGUAGGUGGAGUGGUAAGUCAGUGGUGAAAUCUCCAAGCUUAACUUGGAAACUGCCGUUGAUACUAUCAUUCUUGAAUAUCGUGGAGGUAAGCGGAAUAUGUCAUGUAGCGGUGAAAUGCUUAGAUAUGACAUAGAACACCGAUUGCGAAGGCAGCUUGCUACACGAUCAUUGACACUGAGGCACGAAAGCGUGGGGAUCAAACAGGAUUAGAUACCCUGGUAGUCCACGCCCUAAACGAUGAUUACUCGACAUCAGCGAUACACUGUUGGUGUCUGAGCGAAAGCAUUAAGUAAUCCACCUGGGAAGUACGAUCGCAAGAUUG